UAAAGUAUGACUCAAAGUGAAUUUAAUUUAUAUAAUAUAACAUAUAAAAUAGUUUUACGCGAAAUUAGAGUCAGUAUUUGUUUGCCGAUAACAGAAUAUAGUAUAUUAACGAAUAUUAAUAAUGACUUAUUUUCAUAUUUUUAUUCAAAAUAUUCAUUUUCAGUAGAGUCAGUGCUUCUCUCAAGAUAAUUCAUCAGGCGAUUAUUCAUCAUGCGAUGAGGAUAUUGGAGAUUCGUGUUCGUGCAUCCUUUGUUCAUCAAGGAAGAAGAUCGUCCCCCCCCUCCGCAUCGCCAUUUUUAAUUUCGUUAAUCGAAAAUAUAACGCAGUCCGCCAUUUUGUCGUGACAAUUAGACGCUUCUUUUCGCAACAGGCAAUUGAGAAACCUCAAGGCAGCAAAAACGUAUUACAAUAUGGAUACAAUAAUGGUUUGAUAUAGUUCCUUACCAAUAGUUCUUUUACGGAGAAAUGGUAAUGUAUUUUAUAUUGAAAAUAAAUAUAUUUUUAUUUUUUUCCCUCUUUUUGGAUGGAUUGCUUUUAUUGUCUAUUUGUUAAGUAAUUCAUAACAUAUCAAGAUAUCAAUAUUUAUGAAUACUGAUAUAAAAAUAUAAAGGAUAUUGAACAAUUUUUA
Apis mellifera (honey bee) is the source of this 628-nucleotide long non-coding RNA. RefSeq lists it as uncharacterized. The record is from RefSeq and is a predicted model, not a curated record. The transcript is spliced from 3 exons. Lineage: Eukaryota; Metazoa; Arthropoda; Insecta; Hymenoptera; Apidae.